GAGUUUGAUCAUGGCUCAGGACGACGCUGGCGGCGUGCUUAACACAUGCAAGUCGAGCGGAAAGGCCCUUUCGGGGGUACUCGAGCGGCGAACGGGUGAGUAACACGUGAGUAAUCUGCCCUUGGCUUUGGGAUAACUACCGGAAACGGUGGCUAAUACCGGAUAUGACCAUGCUCGGCAUCGGGUGUGGUGGAAAGUUUUUUCGGCCAGGGAUGUGCUCGCGGCCUAUCAGCUUGUUGGUGGGGUAAUGGCCUACCAAGGCUUCGACGGGUAGCCGGCCUGAGAGGGUGACCGGCCACACUGGAACUGAGACACGGCCCAGACUCCUACGGGAGGCAGCAGUGGGGAAUAUUGGACAAUGGGCGGAAGCCUGAUCCAGCAACGCCGCGUGAGGGAUGACGGCCUUCGGGUUGUGAACCUCUUUCAGUACCGACGAAGCGCCGAUGAUGGUGGUGACGGUAGGUACAGAAGAAGCACCGGCCAACUACGUG
RNAcentral lists this ribosomal RNA (491 nucleotides) under uncultured bacterium. Its description in RNAcentral is "bacterial SSU rRNA". It matches the Rfam family "Bacterial small subunit ribosomal RNA", at positions 9 to 507 of the family's 1533-position model. The record is from RNAcentral.